RNA transcript from Canis lupus familiaris (dog), 5468 nucleotides. RefSeq lists it as uncharacterized. The record is from RefSeq and is a predicted model, not a curated record. NCBI's taxonomy places the organism in Eukaryota, Metazoa, Chordata, Mammalia, Carnivora, Canidae. The transcript has 5 exons.
AAACAGGGGACAAAACAUGUGAUUCCAUUCUCAUGGCACUUCUAGACAAAUAGGAGGGACAGAUGCUCAACAAAAACACACUUGUGAAUACACAUUUGCCAACAGAGGUGAAGGUUACACAGGAAAGCCAAGGGGAGCUAGAAAAGCCUAUACAAGGUAUUGGGGGGAAGGCCAGUGGGCAUGAGGUCUGCCAUCCAAGUCUGCGAGCGCAGGUCUCAGUUUCAUAUCCUACGGGCUCUGUGGCCACAGUGUUAUCUAGGAACCAGGUCCUUCUUUGAAGGAUGGCUGGGCAAGAUAACAACAGUGGUCUGUGAUCCAGAGAGAGUAAACUAUCCACACCACAGAAAGCUCAAAUCUAUGGCCUUGGACUCAUUAGCCUGGCGUUCUAAACAACUCAGAGACAAAUUAUCAAACUCUUACUCUAUGCUGGAAAGGCGACUUGAACCCAUUUUGCCACCCAGAUGCCCUUGGUGAAGCCACCAGUGGUAACAGAAGAAGGGGGAGAAAGAGAGGUCCUGCAAGCUGGAACUGAAGGCAGCUCAGCACACGGCCAGGCACUUGUCCAGGAGUCAGAACCCGGCCCCCUGGCCUGGUGUGCCCAGCUGUGUGAUCCCCAGUGCACCUCUCAGCGGCUCCAUGCUUCAGAUUUCUUUCUCACCUGUAGGACAUGUCCUAUUCCUCACUGAUAUGUCACUUUUGGGGAUGUGCUCCCGUCUGGGCCUGGGUAUGGCAUCAUCGGUACCUCUGAUGAUUAGGAAGAAAUCUAAUUUUUCUUAUAUUAAGGAGGAAUUGUCUGACUGUGCAUCAAAGCCCCCGAGGAACAGUGCCUUAAAGAGGAUCAAAGAUUCUUUCUCUCUGGGUGAAGGCCCUUUAGGGCAGUAUAGGGCUCUCCGCUCAUUCUCAAACCAGGCUCUUCAUGCCACCUGUGCAGGCAUUCUGAGGGCUUGGCUUUGAACCUCACUGUCCAAGGUGAGCUGUGACCAUCACAUCACUGCCCUCAGAGCAGAACUGAGGACAUGGUAAGGAGAGAUACGACCCCUUCCUUUUAGAGAUAUUGUCCUAGAUGUUGCACACAUCCUUUUUCACAUUACACUGGUCAGCAGUCACCCGGCCACAGGAAGGCAGAGAAAUGUGGCCAUGAACCCAGCUAAUUAUUUAUGAAUCUGUUAUCUUGCAAGAAAGGGUGAAUGAUUAUUAAUGGGACAGCAAUCAGUCUCUGCCACUUUUAUUUUCAUUAAACUUUCUACUAUAUUUAUUUUUCCCCCCUAAGUUAGGGAAUAGGUAUACGCUUGUUGCCAUUUAGUUGAUUGUUUUAUCACUGAUUUUGUAGUUCUUCUCUUUCUUCUCUUGUGGUUUCAUGACUUUCUUUGGUGUUACACUUAGAUCCCUCUCUUUUUCUAUUGUGUAUUGACUAAGUUUUUCUUUGUGGUUACUGUGAGGUUUGCCUGUAUCAUCCUGUGGAUGCAACAGUCUAUUUUAAGUUGGUAGCCACUUAAUCCGAACACACUCCAAACUGUAUUUUCAUCUUUCUCAUUUUAGGUUUUUGGAUGUCACAUUUUUAUAUCUUUUUUUUUUAUUUUAAGUAUACCUUAACUAAUUGUCAUAGUUAUAGUUAAAUAUAAUUUCAUCUUUUAACCUUCUCAGGAGCUUUAAAAGUGAUUAACCCACCACCUUUUCUAUAUAUUUAUCUUUCCCGGUGAGACUUUUCCUUCCCUGUGUUUUCUUGUUACUAUCCACUGCCAGUUCGUUUCAGCUUAAAGAGGUCUCUCAAUAUUUCUCAUAAGGCCAGUUCAGUAGUGAGAAACUCUCCUAGCUUAUCCUUAUCUGAAAAACUCUUAUUAAUUUCUCGGCAGUUUUGAAGGAUCACCCUGCUGGGUAGCAUAUUCCCGGCUACAAGUUUCCAGCACUUUCAAGGUGUCAUGCUACUCUCUUCCGGCUUGCAAAAUUUCUGCUGAGAAUUCUGCUGGGAGCCUUCUGGGAUUUCCCUGUACUUAACACUUUGUUUUUCUCUUUCUGCUUUUAAAAUUCUCUAAUUUUUGACAUUUUAAUUAUAAUGUGUUUCAGUGUGGUUUUCUUUGGGUUCAUUAUAUUCAGAAUUCUCUGUGUUUCCUAGACCUGCACAUCUGUUUCCUUCCCUAGGUUAAGAACGUUUUCAGCCAUUAUUUCUUCAAAGAAGUUUUCUGCCCCUGUUUCUUUCUUUUCCUUCUGGGGCCCUUAUAAUGAGAAUGUUACUUCACUUGAUGUUAUUUGCGUUACCUUCAUUAAAGUUCUUUUUUUCUUCUUGCUGCUGUGUCUGGGUGGGUUCCAUUGCUUUAUCUUCUGGUUCACUGAUCCAUACUUCUGCUUCAUCUAGUCUGCUGCUGAACCUCUCCAGUGCAGUUUUUGUUUUGGUUAUUGUAUUAUUCAAUUCUUUUUGGUACAUUCUUAUUCCUUCAGUCCUUUUUGGUAUGUUUCUUAUGCCUUCUCUGUUGAUGUCAUCACCAGGUUGAUCUAUUCUUCUGCUGAGUUCAGUGAGCACCUUUAUAAACCAUACUUUGAAUUCUCUACUAGGUAGAUUACUCAUCUCCGUAUCAUUUGAAUCUUUUCCUGAAGAUUUUUUUCUUUUGUUUGGAAUAUACUUCUCUGUUUCCUCAUUUUGCUUGAUUUUCUGUCUGCUUCCAUGUAUUAGACGAAACAGCUACCUCUCUCAAGAUUGAAGGUGUGGCCUUGUGUAGGUGAUGAUCUUUCUGUUUCAACCUUGCCCUAGCUCAUGGGAAACUUUGAGACUGUCUAAACUGCCUGGUUUAUUCUUGAUAUGCCCCCAUUGUUGAGGGUGUGCCAAGACUUGUCAGUGAUUCAAGGAGAGGAAUCUCAUCUUACAUCUAGUUUCAGGAUGAAUGGAAGCCAGGCCCUCAUGCAGCAGCUUUUUAUUUUUUUAUGUUUAAAAAUUUUUAAGAUUUUAUUUAUUUAUUCAUAAGAGACACACAAAGAGGCAGAGACAGAAGCAGAGGGAGAAGCUCCCCAUAGGGAGCCUGAUGUGGGACUCAAUCCCCGGAACCCAAGAUCACGUCCUGAGCCAAAGGCACUCAACCGCUGAGCCACCUAGGCAUCCCAUGCAGCAGCUUUUAAAGUAUGAAAAUACUUAUAGUCCUGUGAGUCUGCAAUUGUAAAGCCUUUUGGCCUCCAGACCAGGAGAUCUGGAAGUGUCUCCUGGGUAAGUUGCCAAAUUCAGGGCCACAGGUGAUCAUGUAAGCUCCUUUCUGGGAAGUCUCAUUGGGUUGUGGUGAGGCCGAAGGUAUGUUCAAGGAUGAUGUCUUUCUGCUUAUGCUCCCUAUGAGUGCCUCUUUAGCCUCUAGAUGUGUAGGAAACCUGAAGCUUGUCCCUGAGGUUGAAGCUCCACACUAAAUGAACAGGCUAUUUUCAGAGGAAGCCCAGGGUUGUUUCAGUCUGCUGUGUGCAAUACCUUGGAGUUGGUGUCCUGCCAAGAGCUAUUUUUCAGAUUGUUAUAGUUCCACAAGGCUCUGGAACACCAGCCCUCUUUGCUACCAGGGAAACUGAUUCAGGGGUAUCCUCUGUGUGGACUCCACAUGCUGUUGGCUUUAAUGAGGCAGCUGGAGAGUGUAGUGGGCAAGGAACAUUCCAAAAAUGUUUCUAAAGUCAGUGAGAAUGUGUCUUCUUGUGCUUGAAGACCUCAGGGAUACAGCAAGACCUCUCUGUGUGUGUGCUGGCUUUAGGUUGGGAAUGGAAGGGUGAUCGGACUGCUUGUCCCACCUGUCUUGGCAAGGUGGUGGGGACGUGUCUUCCCCAUAUUCUCAGCAAGUGCUACGACCACUCACCACCCCUUGUGGCCCAGCAAGGUGGUGGGAGGGUGCCAUGUCCUUGCUUGCCUACUGCGAGGAGACUGUGUGGGGAAUGCAGCAAUGGCAUCCAUCAUCUCUGAGGAGCAUCUCAGCUUUCCCCUACCCUUCCAGUUUAUGCCUCUAGAACAGCAAACGAAUCUCCCUCACAUAUUAUUGUUUUAUUUUUUCUUUUCUUUUUCUCUUUCUUUCUUUUUUUUGUUUUGUUUUUUAGAUUUAGGUGUUUUUCAAACCGCUGUUUUUUGCUGGGUCUCAGGUCAAGCAAGCCCUCCAAGAGAAAUCUCCAUUUAUUAUAGCACUUUGGGAUGCCCAGACAUUAGUCCCAUUGGUCAUCCAAGCCAGAUGUUCUGGAGCUUGUCUUUUCUGGUAUAGAUCCUGGGGCUCAUCAUUCUGGUAGAGAUCCCAAUGUGGGGCACCAAAACUUCACUCCCCUGGAAAGACUGCUUGUCCAGUGAGAUCCUUCCUUACUGUGUAUUGCCAUGCUGAAAUAGUUUUUUUGCAAGACCAUGUCUCUGCCUCUGUUGCCAGCAUGGAUGUUGUUCUUUUAUGCUUUGUUGUGGAGAGCAAUUGAUCUAGUUUUCAAAUCUUUUUUAGAGGGAAGUGAUCCAUAUGUAGCUUUGGAUGUGAGUGCAUCUGUGCAUCUGUGAGAGGAGGUGAGUUCAGGGAUAUUUCUAUGCUACCAUCUUGGAUGCCCCUCCCAAAAGAUAUUUAUCCUACUCUACAACCUAAGUUAACAUUGGUAAAAAUUAGUAAGACAGGCAACUUACUGAGAAUUCUGGGUCCCAAGCCACUUUAUCCUUUAACAGCCAGAUAAGCAAGGCAAGACUUACUUAAUUGGGCCUGAAGUAUAUGGCAAAUUGCUACAACUGUUGAUUUAAUUACUGUCAGUAGUAAUCUAGGAGAAAUAGUAUUACUAAUGAUUCGUAGCUUCUUCAAACAACUAAAUAUGUUAGAUGGCUGUUUCCAUGGGAUGAAAACAACUCCUACUGUCUUUGACCUGAUGGGCAAUAGCGGUUAGUAUAAGAAAACUGGUUAACUUGCUUAGCAUGGUUUUAAUCUCCAGAGAACCAUUUCCAGAGACCUAAAAGAAAAUCUCAGCAACAAACAUAUCUAUGAUCUUCAUAACAUUAUGUCUUAAUAUCUUGUUCCUGUGCUUGCUAACUUCUUUCUUAAAUAUUCAGGUAACAAUGAAUAUUUUUAAAGUAUAAUUUAAAUGAUUUGUUUUUCUUCCAAUUUCAAAAAAAAUUGUCACAUCCAUUCAAGUCAAAUCUUCUCUCAAAAUCUAGCUUGGUUUGGAAAACUGGUCUGAUAAUCUAAAAAUAUUUGUCUAAAUAGUGCAUAAACAAACUCUAGAACCCUUCAUAGAGUUUCAUUGCUAAAGUCUCUUUGGGAGAUUCUAUACCCAUUAAUCAAAUUUGAGUGUAUCAUGUAUGUUAGAAAUGAUCAUUAGAAAAAGGCUAAUAUUAUAAAAAUAGUUCUUGGAGGACAAAUUCAGUGCUGAGAAAAAUUCUAUGACCACUUUUAAAAUUCGAGUGACCAUUUUUCCCUUGCUACCUUAGCAAAGCUGAGAGUGAUAAAGCAAAUGAAUUUUUUCCUUGAAUUCCAAUUAAAAAUAAACUAUUUCUGAGUCUG